This 468-nucleotide ribosomal RNA is filed under the name uncultured bacterium. Its description in RNAcentral is "partial 16S ribosomal RNA". It matches the Rfam family "Bacterial small subunit ribosomal RNA", at positions 28 to 507 of the family's 1533-position model. The record is from RNAcentral.
GACGAACGCUGGCGGCGUGCUUAACACAUGCAAGUCGAACGGAAAGGCCCUGCUUUCGUGGGGUGCUCGAGUGGCGAACGGGUGAGUAACACGAGAGUAACCUGCCCUUGACUUUGGGAUAACUUCAGGAAACUGGGGCUAAUACCGGAUCGGAGCUCCUGCUGCAUGGUGGGGGUUGGAAAGUUUCGGCGGUUGGGGAUGGACUCGCGGCUUAUCAGCUUGUUGGUGGGGUAGUGGCUUACCAAGGCUUUGACGGGUAGCCGGCCUGGGAGGGUGACCGGCCACAGUGGGACAGAGGUACGGCCCAGACUCAUACGGGAGGCAGCAGUGGGAAAUAGUGCACAAUGGGCGGAAGCCUGAUGCAGCAACGCCGCGUGCGGGAGGACGGCCUUCGGGGUGUAAACCGCUUUCGCCUGUGACGAAGCGUGAGUGACGGUAAUGGGUAAAGAAGCACCGGCUAACUACGUG